This is a non-coding RNA of Macaca mulatta (Rhesus monkey), 492 nucleotides long. The record is from RefSeq and is a predicted model, not a curated record. NCBI's taxonomy places the organism in Eukaryota, Metazoa, Chordata, Mammalia, Primates, Cercopithecidae.
GCCCCACCACACCAGGCCCCUCUCCCACACUUCUUCCUUUCCUCAGCUUUGCGCCUACAGCUCCCUCAGUCCAGCCACCGAAAACAUCCCGUGCCGGAAGUGCGUCACGGACGCCCUGCGGCACCCUUCCCUGCAUUUCCGGGGCCUCUCUAGGCGCCUGAUGGGGUGAGGUGCAUCUCGCUGGUUUAUCGUCGGAGCCCCGCCCGACGCAGUGGGUCUUGACGGUUUCCUGCAGCCCAGGGAAAUACAGGCGUCCGAGCCGGUGGCCCGAGCUCCGGCAAGUGCGGGAACUUUCAGGAUUAAAUAGACAGAGUCUGGCUCUGUCGCCCAGGCUGGACUGCAGUGGCGCGAUUUCGGCUCACUGCAACUUCUGUCUCCCGGGUUCAAGCAGUUCUCCAGCUUCAGCCUCUCAAGUAUCUAGGACUACAGAUGCUGCAGUUUCACAGCAGUUCCUUCCUUCGCGCCUGUAAAACAGUGGCAACAGUAACUCUU